This 30-nucleotide non-coding RNA is filed under the name Rattus norvegicus (Norway rat). Lineage: Eukaryota; Metazoa; Chordata; Mammalia; Rodentia; Muridae. The record is from RNAcentral.
UAACUGGAUGUGAAUUACCAGCUGUGAAGA